AUAACACAUUACAGUUGAGGGCUAAGUUAUGUUCAGAAGGGUCCUCCUCCUGGUUUCAUAAUUCAAUUUAGAGGCAGUGUGCUCAAAGGAGAGAGGAGAU
Molecule: long non-coding RNA, 100 nt
Organism: Neogale vison (American mink)
Lineage: Eukaryota; Metazoa; Chordata; Mammalia; Carnivora; Mustelidae
Exons: 3
Source: RefSeq, a predicted model, not a curated record